UGCCAGCCGCCGCGGUAAUACGGAGGGGGUUAGCGUUGUUCGGAAUUAUUGGGCGUAAAGGAUGCGUAGGCGGUUUUAUAAGUCUGUUGUGAAAUACCGAAGCUUAACUUCGGGGCUGCAAUGGAUACUGUAGAACUUGAAUUCGGGAGAGGUAAAUGGAAUUUCUAGUGUAGGAGUCAAAUCCGUAGAUAUUAGAAGGAACACCAGAGGCGAAGGCGAUUUACUGGAACGAUAUUGACGCUGAGGCAUGAAAGCGUGGGGAGCAAACAGGAUUAGAUA
This 279-nucleotide ribosomal RNA is filed under the name uncultured bacterium. RNAcentral describes it as "partial 16S ribosomal RNA". It matches the Rfam family "Bacterial small subunit ribosomal RNA", at positions 506 to 784 of the family's 1533-position model. The record is from RNAcentral.